This 568-nucleotide ribosomal RNA is filed under the name Bipolaris oryzae. Its description in RNAcentral is "eukaryotic LSU rRNA". The stretch from base 194 to 347 matches the Rfam family "5.8S ribosomal RNA". The record is from RNAcentral. Lineage: Eukaryota; Fungi; Ascomycota; Dothideomycetes; Pleosporales; Pleosporaceae.
ACCUGCGGAGGGAUCAUUACACAACAAAAUAUGAAGGCCUGGCUUUCGCGGCCGGCUGAAGUAUUUUUUUCACCCAUGUCUUUUGCGCACUUGUUGUUUCCUGGGCGGGUUCGCCCGCCACCAGGACCAAACCAUAAACCUUUUUUUCUUAUGCAGUUUCCAUCAGCGUCAGUAAAAACAAUGUAAUUAUUACAACUUUCAACAACGGAUCUCUUGGUUCUGGCAUCGAUGAAGAACGCAGCGAAAUGCGAUACGUAGUGUGAAUUGCAGAAUUCAGUGAAUCAUCGAAUCUUUGAACGCACAUUGCGCCCUUUGGUAUUCCAAAGGGCAUGCCUGUUCGAGCGUCAUUUGUACCUUCAAGCUUUGCUUGGUGUUGGGCGUUUUUUUGUCUCCCUCUUUCUGGGAGACUCGCCUUAAAACGAUUGGCAGCCGGCCUACUGGUUUCGGAGCGCAGCACAUUUUUUGCGCUUUGUAUCAGGAGAAAAGGACGGUACUCCAUCAAGACUCUACAUUUUUCACUUUUGACCUCGAAUCAGGUAGGGAUACCCGCUGAACUUAAGCAUAUCAA